UACGAAGGUGGCAAGCGUUAUUCGGAUUUACUGGGCGUACAGGGAGCGUAGGCGGUUCGGUAAGCCCUCUGUGAAAUCUUCAGGCUUAACCUGGAAAAGUCGGAGGGGACUGCCGGGCUAGAGGACGGGAGAGGAGCGCGGAAUUCCCGGUGUAGCGGUGAAAUUCGUAGAUAUCGGGAGGAACACCAGUGGCGAAGGCGGCGACCUGGACAGACACUGACGCUGAGACGCGAAAGCGUGGGGAGCAAACAGG
Molecule: ribosomal RNA, 253 nt
Filed under: uncultured prokaryote
Description: partial 16S ribosomal RNA
Rfam family: Bacterial small subunit ribosomal RNA
Source: RNAcentral